This is a long non-coding RNA of Saccostrea cuccullata (small rock oyster), 530 nucleotides long. RefSeq lists it as uncharacterized. The record is from RefSeq and is a predicted model, not a curated record. Lineage: Eukaryota; Metazoa; Mollusca; Bivalvia; Ostreida; Ostreidae. The transcript has 3 exons.
CGAUGAGAUUUAUCGAUUACACCAAGAUGCCUCCUCGGUUCAAGUUUUCUACUGUGAAAUCCGGAUAUAUAUUCUUAUGUUUCGGAAUUUACAAGAAACAGUUUCCCGUGAACAGGUUUUGAACUCGGAAGGAUUUUACUCCAGCCACUCCUUAAAAGAACGAUAGACACUCACUCAAACGAAGCGGGACUAGGUGGACAAAUGGUCAUAAAUCACCGAACGAAAUUACAGAUUCCGUUGGAAUUUCGUGAGCAAAAUUUUCCCAAGGUUGUGUGUAAGAAGUGAAAAAGAAUGCUUCUCGUUUUUCUUUUGUGUCCAUUGGAUUCUUUAUAUGUUCCAUGGAUCAAUCAUUGUGAAAUGAAUCUAUUACUCCAGUAUAUACAAUGUAGCAAUGAACGGUGAAUUUACGAAAUUUAUGAUCAGAGCCACGGAUGCGUCUACAAUAAUGAAUCUGAGACAUUCAACUCACUGGAUUAUUUGUGCCAUUUUCAAUAGAAUUUUUUGUGAAAUAUUAACAUUUAAUGCUACAA